RNAcentral lists this transfer RNA (67 nucleotides) under Hodotermes mossambicus. RNAcentral's name for it is "tRNA-Pro". Lineage: Eukaryota; Metazoa; Arthropoda; Insecta; Blattodea; Hodotermitidae. The record is from RNAcentral.
CAGAGGGUAUUUUAAGAUAAAAUGUUAAUUUUGGGGAUUAAUGAUGGGUAGUUUCGCCUUUCUCUGA